Molecule: small nuclear RNA, 104 nt
Filed under: Castor canadensis (American beaver)
Lineage: Eukaryota; Metazoa; Chordata; Mammalia; Rodentia; Castoridae
Source: RNAcentral
GUGCUCAAUUCAGCAGCACAUACACUAAAAUUGUAAUGAGACAGAAAGGAUUGGCGUGACACUUGCACAAGAUAACAUACAAUUUGUGAGCAUUCCAUAUUUUA